This 253-nucleotide ribosomal RNA is filed under the name uncultured bacterium. Its description in RNAcentral is "partial 16S ribosomal RNA". It matches the Rfam family "Bacterial small subunit ribosomal RNA", at positions 524 to 776 of the family's 1533-position model. The record is from RNAcentral.
GACAGAGGGUGCAAACGUUGUUCGGAAUUACUGGGCGUAAAGCGUGUGUAGGCGGCCGUGCAAGUCGGAUGUGAAAUCCCCGGGCUCAACCCGGGAAGUGCACCCGAAACUGCAGGGCUCGAGUACCGGAGAGGUUGGUGGAAUUCUCGGUGUAGAGGUGAAAUUCGUAGAUAUCGAGAGGAACACCGGUGGCGAAGGCGGCCAACUGGACGAGUACUGACGCUGAGACACGAAAGCGUGGGGAGCAAACAGG